This 343-nucleotide ribosomal RNA is filed under the name uncultured fungus. RNAcentral's name for it is "SSU rRNA". It matches the Rfam family "Eukaryotic small subunit ribosomal RNA", at positions 292 to 636 of the family's 1831-position model. Lineage: Eukaryota; Fungi. The record is from RNAcentral.
GCUUCAUUCAAAUAUCUGCCCUAUCAACUUUCGAUGGUAGGAUAGUGGCCUACCAUGGUUUAACGGGUAACGGGGAAUAAGGGUUCGAUUCCGGAGAGGGAGCCUGAGAAACGGCUACCACAUCCAAGGAAGGCAGCAGGCGCGCAAAUUACCCAAUCCCGACCGGGGAGGUAGUGACAAUAAAUAACAAUAUAGGGCUCUUUUGGGUCUUAUAAUUGGAAUGAGUACAACUUAAAUCUCUUAACGAGGAACAAUUGGAGGGCAAGUCUGGUGCCAGCAGCCGCGGUAAUUCCAGCUCCAAUAGCGUAUAUUAAAGUUGUUGCAGUUAAAAAGCUCGUAGUUG